Molecule: ribosomal RNA, 1554 nt
Filed under: Salmonella enterica
Lineage: Bacteria; Pseudomonadati; Pseudomonadota; Gammaproteobacteria; Enterobacterales; Enterobacteriaceae
Also listed under: 4 other names
Description: bacterial SSU rRNA
Rfam family: Bacterial small subunit ribosomal RNA
Source: RNAcentral
AAAUUGAAGAGUUUGAUCAUGGCUCAGAUUGAACGCUGGCGGCAGGCCUAACACAUGCAAGUCGAACGGUAACAGGAAGCAGCUUGCUGCUUUGCUGACGAGUGGCGGACGGGUGAGUAAUGUCUGGGAAACUGCCUGAUGGAGGGGGAUAACUACUGGAAACGGUGGCUAAUACCGCAUAACGUCGCAAGACCAAAGAGGGGGACCUUCGGGCCUCUUGCCAUCAGAUGUGCCCAGAUGGGAUUAGCUUGUUGGUGAGGUAACGGCUCACCAAGGCGACGAUCCCUAGCUGGUCUGAGAGGAUGACCAGCCACACUGGAACUGAGACACGGUCCAGACUCCUACGGGAGGCAGCAGUGGGGAAUAUUGCACAAUGGGCGCAAGCCUGAUGCAGCCAUGCCGCGUGUAUGAAGAAGGCCUUCGGGUUGUAAAGUACUUUCAGCGGGGAGGAAGGUGUUGUGGUUAAUAACCGCAGCAAUUGACGUUACCCGCAGAAGAAGCACCGGCUAACUCCGUGCCAGCAGCCGCGGUAAUACGGAGGGUGCAAGCGUUAAUCGGAAUUACUGGGCGUAAAGCGCACGCAGGCGGUCUGUCAAGUCGGAUGUGAAAUCCCCGGGCUCAACCUGGGAACUGCAUUCGAAACUGGCAGGCUUGAGUCUUGUAGAGGGGGGUAGAAUUCCAGGUGUAGCGGUGAAAUGCGUAGAGAUCUGGAGGAAUACCGGUGGCGAAGGCGGCCCCCUGGACAAAGACUGACGCUCAGGUGCGAAAGCGUGGGGAGCAAACAGGAUUAGAUACCCUGGUAGUCCACGCCGUAAACGAUGUCUACUUGGAGGUUGUGCCCUUGAGGCGUGGCUUCCGGAGCUAACGCGUUAAGUAGACCGCCUGGGGAGUACGGCCGCAAGGUUAAAACUCAAAUGAAUUGACGGGGGCCCGCACAAGCGGUGGAGCAUGUGGUUUAAUUCGAUGCAACGCGAAGAACCUUACCUGGUCUUGACAUCCACAGAACUUUCCAGAGAUGGAUUGGUGCCUUCGGGAACUGUGAGACAGGUGCUGCAUGGCUGUCGUCAGCUCGUGUUGUGAAAUGUUGGGUUAAGUCCCGCAACGAGCGCAACCCUUAUCCUUUGUUGCCAGCGGUUAGGCCGGGAACUCAAAGGAGACUGCCAGUGAUAAACUGGAGGAAGGUGGGGAUGACGUCAAGUCAUCAUGGCCCUUACGACCAGGGCUACACACGUGCUACAAUGGCGCAUACAAAGAGAAGCGACCUCGCGAGAGCAAGCGGACCUCAUAAAGUGCGUCGUAGUCCGGAUUGGAGUCUGCAACUCGACUCCAUGAAGUCGGAAUCGCUAGUAAUCGUGGAUCAGAAUGCCACGGUGAAUACGUUCCCGGGCCUUGUACACACCGCCCGUCACACCAUGGGAGUGGGUUGCAAAAGAAGUAGGUAGCUUAACCUUCGGGAGGGCGCUUACCACUUUGUGAUUCAUGACUGGGGUGAAGUCGUAACAAGGUAACCGUAGGGGAACCUGCGGUUGGAUCACCUCCUUACCUUAAAGAAGC